Crotalus tigris (Tiger rattlesnake) is the source of this 411-nucleotide long non-coding RNA. RefSeq lists it as uncharacterized. NCBI's taxonomy places the organism in Eukaryota, Metazoa, Chordata, Lepidosauria, Squamata, Viperidae. The transcript has 3 exons. The record is from RefSeq and is a predicted model, not a curated record.
CUGAAAGCUAAGGGCCAUAUACAGUCCCCAGUUUCCUUUGUUCACUAUCUGACUGUGGCCGCAGAAAACUGAUGGAACAGCUUCCCUCCAUUUUGUUGCCAUUUUUCCUAAAUUAAUGUAUUUGUUGAAAGGGCUGAUCUUCAGCUUCUUCCUGGACUGACAUCUGGAGUUCUGCUUAUACAUCUGGUUAUAGUUCAAUGGAUCUGCCAAGUGUCAACUUGGGAAGGCUUAUACAUGAUCAAAAAAGAGGAGAAACGUUUGCAUGAAAAUUUGACGAUGGGAUCAGUGCUCGAUCUUCCAAAGGAAAAAAGACCCUGCUUUUCCUUCUGUUGCAUUUUUAACACUGGAGAUAGCCUAUACAGCCUUUUCAAUUAGAACAAGGAAGCUCAGCCAAUGACCUUAAGGUUGCAG